RNAcentral lists this ribosomal RNA (253 nucleotides) under uncultured bacterium. RNAcentral describes it as "partial 16S ribosomal RNA". It matches the Rfam family "Bacterial small subunit ribosomal RNA", at positions 524 to 776 of the family's 1533-position model. The record is from RNAcentral.
UACGUAGGUGGCAAGCGUUACUCGGAAUCACUAGGCGUAAAGCGCAGGUAGGCGGUUCGGUAAGUCUCUUGUGAAAGCUCCCGGCUCAACUGGGAGAGGUCAAGGGAAACUACCGGGCUAGAGUGUGGCAGAGGAAGCUGGAAUUCCUGGUGUAGCGGUGAAAUGCGCAGAUAUCAGGAGGAACACCGAUGGCGAAGGCAGUGGGCUGGGCCGGCACUGACGCUGAGGAGCGAAAGCGUGGGGAGCGAACAGG